This 708-nucleotide ribosomal RNA is filed under the name uncultured Nitrospira sp. RNAcentral describes it as "bacterial SSU rRNA". It matches the Rfam family "Bacterial small subunit ribosomal RNA", at positions 8 to 710 of the family's 1533-position model. Lineage: Bacteria; Pseudomonadati; Nitrospirota; Nitrospiria; Nitrospirales; Nitrospiraceae. The record is from RNAcentral.
AGAGUUUGAUCCUGGCUCAGAACGAACGCUGGCGGCGCGCCUAAUACAUGCAAGUCGAGCGAGAAGGUGUAGUGAUACACUUGUAAAGCGGCGAACGGGUGAGGAAUACAUGGGUAAUCUACCAUCGAGUGGGGAAUAACCAACCGAAAGGUUGGCUAAUACCGCGUACGCCUCCGGAUCUUCGGGUUCGGAGGGAAAGCUGCACUGUGAGUGUAGCGCUCUUUGAUGAGCUCAUGUCCUAUCAGCUUGUUGGUAGGGUAACGGCCUACCAAGGCUUUGACGGGUAGCUGGUCUGAGAGGACGAUCAGCCACACUGGCACUGCGACACGGGCCAGACUCCUACGGGAGGCAGCAGUAAGGAAUAUUGCGCAAUGGGCGAAAGCCUGACGCAGCGACGCCGCGUGGGGGAUGAAGGUCUUCGGAUUGUAAACCCCUUUCGGGAGGGAAGAUGGAGCGAGCAAUCGUUCGGACGGUACCUCCAGAAGCAGCCACGGCCAACUUCGUGCCAGCAGCCGCGGUAAUACGAAGGUGGCAAGCGUUGUUCGGAUUCACUGGGCGUACAGGGUGUGUAGGCGGUUUGGUAAGCCUUCUGUUAAAGCUUCGGGCCCAACCCGGAAAGCGCAGAGGGUACUGCCAGGCUAGAGGGUGGGAGAGGAGCGCGGAAUUCCCGGUGUAGCGGUGAAAUGCGUAGAGAUCGGGAAGAAGGCC